AUAAACAGUAACGCCGUGUCAGGUCUGGUGUGAAUAGAGCUUUCUGUUUACAAAAUGUCCUCGUGCAUUUUAGACUUUCUUUCUUGGGUGUAUUACGACGAUAGUGAUUGUGUUCAUAUAAUCGUCUUGUUUGUUUUAGUUUUUAGUUUAGUGAUUCUGAUUGUAUACAUCGAGCAACGGUUACAAGCAUUCCUUGAGAAGCAAUAUGCUUUUGUACGAAACGAAAG
Physella acuta is the source of this 227-nucleotide long non-coding RNA. RefSeq lists it as uncharacterized. Lineage: Eukaryota; Metazoa; Mollusca; Gastropoda; Physidae. The record is from RefSeq and is a predicted model, not a curated record.